AUACUUACCUGGCAGGGGAGAUACCAUGAUCACGAAGGUGGUUUUCUCAGGGUGAGGCUCAUCCAUUGCACUGCGGGUGUGCUGACCCCUGCGAUUUCCCCAAAUGCGGGAAACUCGACUGCAUAAUUUGUGGUAGUGGGGGACUGCGUUCGCGCUCUCCCCUG
RNAcentral lists this small nuclear RNA (164 nucleotides) under Gopherus agassizii (Agassiz's desert tortoise). RNAcentral's name for it is "U1 spliceosomal RNA (ENSGAGG00000001824.1)". It matches the Rfam family "U1 spliceosomal RNA". From Rfam's summary of the family: U1 is a small nuclear RNA (snRNA) component of the spliceosome (involved in pre-mRNA splicing). Its 5' end forms complementary base pairs with the 5' splice junction, thus defining the 5' donor site of an intron. The record is from Rfam by way of RNAcentral. Lineage: Eukaryota; Metazoa; Chordata; Testudines; Testudinidae.